GCCCUGUCCAUGUAUUUUGCCUGUAGAAUCAAAUAACACAAAUGUAGGGGAAAUCCAGAGUUAAUCCAAGCAUGACACAGACCUCUUGAAUCUCAUUUAUGCAUAUCAUCAGAAAGGGUUAAUCCUACAAGAGAACUUUGAAGGGAAAUCUGCAGAAUUCAAGAAUCCAAAACUAAAAGAAAAACACAAAAGAUCUGAGAUACACGCAAUUAAUUUUCAGUAACAAAAUAUCUUUUAAUUAUCAAAC
Molecule: unclassified non-coding RNA, 247 nt
Filed under: Hevea brasiliensis (rubber tree)
Lineage: Eukaryota; Viridiplantae; Streptophyta; Magnoliopsida; Malpighiales; Euphorbiaceae
Source: RNAcentral